UCUUCAUUAGUAUAACGGUUAGUAUAACCGCUUCUCAGUAUCUAGUUCUUCUAGUCUGUGCGCGGUAGACCAGGGUUCAACUCCCUGAUGGAGAA
This 95-nucleotide transfer RNA is filed under the name Cryptococcus neoformans. RNAcentral's name for it is "tRNA-Glu". It matches the Rfam family "tRNA". From Rfam's summary of the family: Transfer RNA (tRNA) molecules are approximately 80 nucleotides in length. Their secondary structure includes four short double-helical elements and three loops (D, anti-codon, and T loops). Further hydrogen bonds mediate the characteristic L-shaped molecular structure. tRNAs have two regions of fundamental functional importance: the anti-codon, which is responsible for specific mRNA codon recognition, and the 3' end, to which the tRNAs corresponding amino acid is attached (by aminoacyl-tRNA synthetases). tRNAs cope with the degeneracy of the genetic code in two manners: having more than one tRNA (with a specific anti-codon) for a particular amino acid; and 'wobble' base-pairing, i.e. permitting non-standard base-pairing at the 3rd anti-codon position. The record is from RNAcentral. RNAcentral also lists the same sequence under 1 other name. Lineage: Eukaryota; Fungi; Basidiomycota; Tremellomycetes; Tremellales; Cryptococcaceae.